GGGGGUGGGAGCGGCGGAGGCGUCCGUGUUGGACCCCGAGGCCUCCGCCUGCGUGGUAAGGUGGCCUCUUGAAAGCGGCCUAGGGGCUGAAGGCUGGCACGUGGGAAGCACUCUGGGUUGUGUGAGGACGUCGGGAGUGACUGCCCGUCCCGGUCCCACCCCUACCGCUCUGGCUGCCCCAAGGUUCACUUCGACGUGCGCUCCCCGGGGGCAUGCCGUCGGCCGGUGUGUAUUCAGCACCCGCUCGACCCGGCUCCCUGCGGAGCUACGGCGGAGACAAAGGACAGGGGGGCCGGGUCCCCGCCCGCCCGCAAGCACGCCCGCCCGCUGGGGGCUACCAGUCUAUCGCGGGGAGGGAGAAGGACAUCGUCGAUUCAGCCUUCUCUGCUUCACUUGUGCUGGGAACAUGCUCGAAGGCCGCUGGGGCCCAGGAGCCGGGAUCCCGGACCAGCCUGGGGAGGAUGAAGGGAGAGAGGGCAAAGCCGCUGCGGGGCGGGGCGGGGUGGGGUCGUGGGGGAGAUGCAGCAAGUGCCGAUGGCCUGCAACCUCGCGACUCUUGCAGGGAACCGCACGAAGAGAGCGCGUGGGGGCUCUGUACCGGAGGGAGCUCGGGGAUGGCGAGGGGCUUUGAACUUUACCACCAAGAGCUACAGGAGUCUCUCUAAAGAACAGUAUCAAGCGAGGUUCUCCUUGGAGGCCUCUGGAAAGCUAGACAACCGGAGAGGGCAACCUGGUGGCAGGUGGUUCCUAGUGUGGAUGAUGGGUCCAGGACUUAAUCGAACAAGAUUUCUUUCAACUGCCCAGUAUAGAAGUCGCGCUUGGAAACGCCGGAAGCCUGCACUGGGUAAGCACAUAGGGGCUAAGGAAUCAGAAGCUGUCUUGGAUUGCUCCUUCUGCCCCUGUCAGCCUCAGCUGAGCGGCUCCUCAGGCGCCCAGGAGCCUCCUCUGGACAGAUUUAUCCAGGAAAAUCUUGUCUGACCUCCCAACUUGAGACCUACCUCACCAUCUCCUCUUCAGAGACCGCCG
RNAcentral lists this long non-coding RNA (1026 nucleotides) under Bos grunniens (domestic yak). RNAcentral's name for it is "lncRNA (ENSBGRG00000021625.1)". The record is from RNAcentral. Lineage: Eukaryota; Metazoa; Chordata; Mammalia; Artiodactyla; Bovidae.